ACUCCUACGGGAGGCAGCAGUGGGGAAUUUUGGACAAUGGGCGAAAGCCUGAUCCAGCAAUGCCGCGUGAGUGAAGAAGGCCUCGGUUGUAAAGACUCUUUUGUUCAGGGAAGAAACGGUAGAGAGCUAAUAUCUCUUGCUAAUGACGGUACCUGAAGAAUAAGCACCGGCUAACUACGUGCCAGCAGCCGCGGUAAUACGUAGGGUGCAAGCGUUAAUCGGAAUUACUGGGCGUAAAGCGUGCGCAGGCGGUUUUGUAAGUCUGAUGUGAAAUCCCCGGGGCUCAACCUGGGAAUUGCAUUGGAGACUGCAAGGCUAGAAUCUGGCAGAGGGGGUAGAAUUCCACGUGUAGCAGUGAAAUGCGUAGAUAUGUGGAGGAACACCGAUGGCGAAGGCAGCCCCCUGGGUCAAGAUUGACGCUCAUGCACGAAAGCGUGGGGAGCAAACAGGAUUAGAUACCCUGGUAGCGACUGA
RNAcentral lists this ribosomal RNA (474 nucleotides) under uncultured bacterium. Its description in RNAcentral is "bacterial SSU rRNA". It matches the Rfam family "Bacterial small subunit ribosomal RNA", at positions 335 to 798 of the family's 1533-position model. The record is from RNAcentral.